This 73-nucleotide transfer RNA is filed under the name Poecilia formosa (Amazon molly). It matches the Rfam family "tRNA". From Rfam's summary of the family: Transfer RNA (tRNA) molecules are approximately 80 nucleotides in length. Their secondary structure includes four short double-helical elements and three loops (D, anti-codon, and T loops). Lineage: Eukaryota; Metazoa; Chordata; Actinopteri; Cyprinodontiformes; Poeciliidae. The record is from Rfam by way of RNAcentral.
GUUCCUGUAGUGUAGUGGUUAUCACGUUUACUUAACACACUAAAGGGCUUUGGUUCAAAACUAGACAGAAACA